GGGGUCUUUGUUGAAAGGUCUCACAUGAUAUUUAAUGAGCUAUGGAUGAUGUCAUUUAUAACUACCUGAACACAGUAUUGAUGUGAUGGCAAUUUGCUUGAGGCAAAUUGGUAUACAAAGUUACCAGUUGCUCAGUGCGACUUAAAUAGCCUCGAUACCCGUGUUCCAAUGGGCUCCGCACAGCUGUAGGUCCAUGUGUCCAUCACAGUAGGUCACAUAUGUAGGUCUCUUCUCCAUCAUAGUAGGUCACUGCUGUAGGGUCAUGUCUCCAACACAGUAGGUCACAGCUGUAGGGUCAUGUCUCCAUCACAGUAGGUCACAGCUGUAGGUCCAUGUGUCCAUCACAGUAGGUCACAGCUGUAGGUCAAUGUGUCCAUCACAGUAGGUCACAGCUGGAGGGCCAUUCUUCAUCACAGUAGGUCACAAACUGUAGGCCCCUGUCUCCAUCAUAGUAGGUCACAGCUGUAGGGUCAUGUCUCCAACACAGUAGGUCACAGCUGUAAGGUCAUGUCUCCAUCACAGUAGGUCACAGCUGUAGGUCCAUGUGUCCAUCACAGUAGGUCACAGCUGUAGGCGCAUGUCUCCAUCACAGUAGGUCACAGCUGUAGGUCUCUUCUCCAUCAUAGUAGGUCACCAACUGUAGGUCCAUGUGUCCAUCACAGUAGGUCACAGCUGUGGGUCUCUUCUCCAUCACAGUAGGUCACAGCUGUAGGUCCAUGUCUCAAUCACAGUAGGUCACAGGUGUAGGUCCAUGUCUCCAUCAAAGUAGGUCACAGGUGUGGGUCCAUUUGUCCAUCACAGUAGGUCACAGCUGUAGGUCUCUUCUCCAUCACAGUAGGUCACCAACUGUAGGUCCAUGUGUCCAUCACAGUAGGUCACAGCUGUAGGUCCAUGUCUCCACCACAUUAGGUCACAGCUGUAGGUCCAUGUCUCCAUCACAGUAGGUCACAGUUGUGGGGCCAUGUCUCCACCACAGUAGGUCACCAACUGUAGGUCCAUGUCUCCAUCACAGUAGGUCACCAACUGUAGGUCCAUGUCUCCAUCACAGUAGGUCACCAACUGUAGGUCCAUGUCUCCAUCACAGUAGGUCACAGCUGUGGGUCUCUUCUCCAUCACAGUAGGUCACAGCUGUAGGUCCAUGCCUCCACCACAGUAGGUCACAGCUGUAGGUCCAUGUCUCCACCACAGUAGGUCACAGCUGUAGGUCCAUGUCUCCACCACAGUAGGUCACAGCUGUAGGUCCAUGUCUCCAUCACAGUAGGUCACAGCUGUAUGUCCAUGCCUCCACCACAGUAGGUCACAGCUGUAGGUCCAUGUCUCCACCACAGUAGGUCACAGCUGUAGGUCCAUGUCUCCACCACAGUAGGUCAUAGCUGUAGGUCCAUGUCUCCACCGCAGUAGGUCACAGUUGUGGGUCCAUGUCUCCAACGCAGUAGGUCACAGCUGUAGGGUCAUGUCUCCACCACAGUAGGUCACAGCUGUAUGUCCAUGUGUCCAUCACAGUAGGUCACAGCUGUAGGUCUCUUCUCCAUCACAGUAGGUCACCAACUGUAGGUCCAUGUGUCCAUCACAGUAGGUCACAGCUGUAGGUCCAUGUUUCCACCACAUUAGGUCACAGCUGUAGGUCCAUGUCUCCAUCACAGUAGGUCACAGCUGUAGGUCCAUGUCUCCACCACAGUAGGUCACAGCUGUAGGGCCAUUUGUCCAUGUCUCCAUCACAGUAGGUCACAGCUGUAGGUCCAUGUGUCCACCUCAGUAGGUCACAGCUGUAGGUCCAUGUCUCCAUCACAGUAGGUCACCAACUGUAGGUCCAUGUCUCCAUCACAGUAGGUCACAGCUGUGGGUCUCAUCUCCAUCACAGUAGGUCACAGCUGUAUGUCCAUGCCUCCACCACAGUAGGUCACAGCUGUAGGUCCAUGUCUCCACCACAUUAGGUCACAGCUGUAGGUCCAUGUCUCCACCACAGUAGGUCAUAGCUGUAGGUCCAUGUCUCCACCGCAGUAGGUCACAGUUGUGGGUCCAUGUCUCCAACACAGUAGGUCACAGCUGUAGGGUCAUGUCUCCACCACAGUAGGUCACAGCUCUUAUGUCCAUGUGUCCAUCACAGUAGGUCACAGCUGUAGGUCCAUGUCUCCAUCACAGUAGGUCACAGCUGUAGGUCUCUUCUCCAUCACAGUAGGUCACCAACUGUAGGUCCAUGUGUCCAUCACAGUAGGUCACAGCUGUAGGUCCAUGUUUCCACCACAUUAGGUCACAGCUGUAGGUCCAUGUCUCAAUCAGAGUAGGUCACAGCUGUAGGUCCAUGUCUCCACCACAGUAGGUCACAGCUGUAGGUGCAUGUCUCCACCACAGUAGGUCACAGCUGUAGGGCCAUUUGUCCAUGUCUCCAUCACAGUAGGUCACAGCUGUAGGUCCAUGUGUCCACCUCAGUAGGUCACAGCUGUAGGUCCAUGUCUCCAUCACAGUAGGUCACAGUUGUGGGUCCAUGUCUCAAUCACAGUAGGUCACAGCUGUAGGUCUCUUCUCCAUCACAGUAGGUCACCAACUGUAGGUCCAUGUGUCCACCUCAGUAGGUCACAGCUGUAGGUGCAUGUAUCCAUAUCAGUAGGUCACAGUUGUAGGUCCAUGUGAUCAUCACAGUAGGUCACAGCUGUAGGUGCAUGUCUCCACCACAGUAGGUCACAGCUGUAGGGCCAUGUGUCCAUGUCUUCAUCACAGUAGGUCACAGCUGUAGGUCCAUGUGUCCACCUCAGUAGGUCACAACUGUAGGUCCAUGUUUCCAUCACAGUAGGUCACAGAUGUAGGUCCAUGUGUCCACAUCAGUAGGUCACAACUGUAGGUCCAUGUUUCCAUCACAGUAGGUCACAGAUGUAGGUCUAUGUCUCCAUCACAGUAGGUUACAGCUGUAGGUCCCUUCUCCAUCACAGUAGGUCACCAACUGUAGGUCCAUGUGUCAAUGUGUCCAUCACAGUAGGUCACAGUUGUGGGUCCAUGUCUCAAUCACAGUAGGUCACAGCUGUAGGUCUCUUCUCCAUCACAGUAGGUCACCAACUGUAGGUCCAUGUGUCCACCUCAGUAGGUCACAGCUGUAGGUGCAUGUAUCCAUAUCAGUAGGUCACAGUUGUAGGUCCAUGUGAUCAUCACAGUAGGUCACAGCUGUAGGUGCAUGUCUCCACCACAGUAGGUCACAGCUGUAGGGCCAUGUGUCCAUGUCUUCAUCACAGUAGGUCACAGCUGUAGGUCCAUGUGUCCACCUCAGUAGGUCACAACUGUAGGUCCAUGUUUCCAUCACAGUAGGUCACAGAUGUAGGUCCAUGUGUCCACAUCAGUAGGUCACAACUGUAGGUCCAUGUUUCCAUCACAGUAGGUCACAGAUGUAGGUCUAUGUCUCCAUCACAGUAGGUUACAGCUGUAGGUCCCUUCUCCAUCACAGUAGGUCACCAACUGUAGGUCCAUGUGUCAAUGUGUCCAUCACAGUAGGUCACUGUUGUGGGUCCAUGUCUCCAUCACAGUAGGUCACAGCUUUUGGCCAAUACAGAGAAUUAUGCUCAACGAAAGCAAAUAAUAAAUAGUAUUGAGUACUCAUAAAGGGUUUCUUGUCAGAGCAGGUUGAGAGAGUUAAGGAGAGGGCAUGAUGACGGCCUAACAUUCAGGAAAAUCUUUCAACAUCAAACUGCUACACGUGAUAUUGAGUGUUGAACAGUUGAAUGUGUAAUGCCGUCAUUGUUAUAUAUAUGCAAUAUAUUUUCUGAUCAGAUUUAGUGUUUACGGUAAUCAAACAUAACAAGGUCGCUCGUUAUACUAGAGUUCUUUUAAAGUGGAAACUGAGGACCAUAUUUAGCUUUUUACAGGAGUGGGCCAUGCCAAGUUUAUGACAUGGGAGCCAUAUUUCUGUCACGUGAUCUGUUGUUCCACCAAUGAGAAGAUGAGUCAUGGCAGGCCUAGUUUGAUUGAUCAAGAUCAAAUAUCCUCUCGUUAGCUGAAUAAUAUGAAGCUAUCUGCCAUUUAUGAAUGGGAUAUCUGGUGCAAGUCAAAAUAAGGAAUCAAAUUUCGAAAGGUCCUCUACAUGUCUACCUUAACAUUUUUAAGCAUGACUAAGGCUUUGGAUAUUGUAAACCUGGUCUACACAUUCACCAGUUAGGACUGAGGCUCAAGAGAAUUUGCGGUCCCAGCUCGAUUUAAUCUAGUCGUUAGACAUGAACGCAGGUUUAAUGACGUAACGCAAUCUACCAAUUAGGAUCUAAGGUCAAGAGAACAAGCGGCCCUAGCUAGAUGUUCAACCUAACGAAGCAGAGACAUAUUUAACUGAUGGGGAUAUUGUCUUUCGUUGUUUAUCUUGUGAAGUAUGUAUUGUAUUGCUGUAUCUGCGUGAUAUAAUGGAUUGAAACAUUCCGUCCAUUAGCCUCUAUGAGUGUUUGGAGAGGAGGCUAAAGGCUCAUUGAGAGGUUGGCCUUAGAUGCCUUUUAAGUAAAGUGGACAGUCUUUGUACAUAGCAUUUGAAGAUAUUCUUAUUAUUCAUUUAUUCAUUCCAACUAUAUCUAAUUUUCUUUUGUUCUUGUAAAUUACGCAACUAAUCGGACUAAAUAAUCAAAUAAAUAGAUUAUCAUAUACUGACCAAAGAAAGUUAGGGAUCAUGUCCAUUUUUGUGGAUAUUUUUAUGAAAGUGUGUUUUCAGUCUUCACUACAAUAAUCUCCCCAUUAUAUUCUUGAUCUUUAACCUUUUUUGGUCAGUAUAUAGAAUAAUCCACACAUGACCUAUCACUGCCACAACGGUCAUAUAUACUGAUGAUAUACUGAACGGUUAUGAAGAGGAACGUGGGUAAACUAUGACAUAUGGCACCAAAAUGCAAACAAGAAAGUAGUGAAAACCCCAGAUAUCACUGCAGAGAAGGCGGUCGGGUAGCCUAGUGGUUAAAGCGUUCGCUCGUCACACCACUCAUCGGGGGUGGGGUAGCCUUGUGGCUUAAGCGUUUGAUCGACAUGCUGAAGACCCAGGUUAGAUCCCCCAUAUGGGU
Molecule: long non-coding RNA, 5015 nt
Organism: Haliotis rufescens (red abalone)
Lineage: Eukaryota; Metazoa; Mollusca; Gastropoda; Lepetellida; Haliotidae
Exons: 4
Source: RefSeq, a predicted model, not a curated record